AUGUCGUGGAUAAGGCGUACCACAGACUCCCUCUGCGACCGCGUCCGUGGCGUCGCCCCGGGCUAUGUCUUCCUCCUCGACGAGAGCAUCCACGGCAAGGCGCAGCUGCUGGCGGAGCUCCGAGGCUGGCGGACCUACCUGGAGGAAAUCGUCGAGAAGCUUGGCCUUUGGAACACUCCGUCCAAAGAGCUUUGUUGUCGACAGAGCGAGACCUUGCUGGAGCUGAGAGGCCACGUAGAGCGCCUCCGGCUCUUCGAGGAGAAAACGGCGGUGGACCGCGGCCGCCGGACGCUCGUGGACUCGAGCGUCGAUCAGAUCGUGAAGGACAUCAUGGCGGGAGAGGAGGCCGGGCAGAUUGCCCCGAACGAUGAUGGUGCCGAGGAGGAUCAACAACCCGGCCUCCAGCUGCCGGCGGGUCCAAAUACGCCUGUUUUGAGGAACGACACGGCGGCGGCCGUGGCAGCUGCCGUUGGUGGCCUUGUGACCCCUUUUCACAUGGAGACGUUCGACCUCAAAUCGAUGGUGGCGGACUUGUCAGGUGUGCCAAUGGCGAAGCUGAAGAUGCAGGCGGAGACCGAGGACGAGGUGCUCCUCCUGUGGGAGCCCGGAGGCAAAGCUGAGCAACCACCACCAUCCUCCAAAAUCCGCGCCAAUUUCCGCUCCGCGCGACUGGAAGGACACGAUGUGAAUCACGGAGGCCGUGUGGACUACCAGUUCUUCUCCCCGCCGAUCGACUUCGACACGGAGGAGGAGUCGCCGCUCCAGCCCGGUCGCCACACCGACGCCAUCGGGGCACCCCUCGAGCGAUCGGCCAACGUCCUCUCCAUCAAGGUGACCAGCUCCGGCGUUGCCAGCUUCCCCCUCAGCCUGUACGGCUCCGUCGUUGUGAGAGACGCCCUCGACGAUGAGGGGAUCUGCCUCUUCCACCGCGAGCGCGACGACCCCCAGCUCAUCACCUCGCAGGGCGAGCCGUUGUUGCUGACAGGUCCAACCCGCGGCCUCGUGGUUUUUGGUUUCCUCUUCUUCGACUUUAACCUCAAGCUCAAGACGGGUCGUGUCGAGGAUGACAUAGAGUUCAUCCAAGACAUGAUGGAGUACAACAGACACAUGAACCAGCACACCCACAUCUCCGACAGCCUCUCGUCGCCGCUCGGCGCCGUCGAGCUGUGCUACAUGGCGGUCCGGGGCGCUAUCGGUCCACCGUCGAGAUCCAGAUCCUGA
Molecule: ribosomal RNA, 1221 nt
Filed under: Triticum aestivum (bread wheat)
Lineage: Eukaryota; Viridiplantae; Streptophyta; Magnoliopsida; Poales; Poaceae
Description: partial small subunit ribosomal RNA
Source: RNAcentral